GAGCAACGCCGCGUGAGGGACGAAGGCCUCUGGGCUGUAAACCUCUUUUCUCAAGGAAGAAGACAUGACGGUACUUGAGGAAUAAGCCACGGCUAAUUCCGUGCCAGCAGCCGCGGUAAUACGGGAGUGGCAAGCGUUAUCCGGAAUUAUUGGGCGUAAAGCGUCCGCAGGCGGCCUUGAAAGUCUGUUGUUAAAGCGUGGAGCUCAACUCCAUUUAAGCAAUGGAAACUACAAGGCUAGAGUGUGGUAGGGGCAGAGGGAAUUCCCGGUGUAGCGGUGAAAUGCGUAGAUAUCGGGAAGAACACCAGUGGCGAAGGCGCUCUGCUGGGCCAUAACUGACGCUCAUGGACGAAAGCCAGGGGAGCGAAAGGGAUUAGAUACCCCUGUAGUCCUGGCCGUAAACGAUGAACACUAGGUGUCGGGAGAAUUAACCCUUCCGGUGUCGUAGCCAACGCGUUAAGUGUUCCGCCUGGGGAGUACGCACGCAAGUGUGAAACUCAAAGGAAUUGACGGGGGCCCGCACAAGCGGUGGAGUAUGUGGUUUAAUUCGAUGCAACGCGAAGAACCUUACAGGGUUUGACAUACUGCGAAUCCCUUGGAAACGAGGGAGUGCCUUCGGGAACGCAGUGACAGGUGGUGCAUGGCUGUCGUCAGCUCGUGUCGUGAGAUGUUGGGUUAAGUCCCGCAACGAGCGCAACCCACGUCUUUAGUUGCCAGCAUUCAGUUGGGCACUCUAGAGAGACCGCCGGUGAUAAACCGGAGGAAGGUGUGGAUGACGUCAAGUCAUCAUGCCCCUUACAUCCUGGGCUACACACGUACUACAAUGCUACGGACAAAGGGCAGCAAACUCGCGAGAGCUAGCAAAUCCCAUAAACCGUGGCUCAGUUCAGAUCGUAGGCUGCAACUCGCCUACGUGAAGGAGGAAUCGCUAGUAAUCGCAGGUCAGCAUACUGCGGUGAAUACGUUCCCGGGCCUUGUACACACCGCCCGUCACACCAUGGAAGUUGGCCACGCCCGAAGUCGUUACUCCAACCCGCAAGGGAGGAGGACGCCGAAGGUGGGGCUGAUGACUGGGGUGAAGUCGUAACAAGGUAGCCGUACCGGAAGGUG
RNAcentral lists this ribosomal RNA (1110 nucleotides) under uncultured cyanobacterium. Its description in RNAcentral is "bacterial SSU rRNA". It matches the Rfam family "Bacterial small subunit ribosomal RNA", at positions 389 to 1514 of the family's 1533-position model. The record is from RNAcentral. Lineage: Bacteria; Bacillati; Cyanobacteriota.